This 4405-nucleotide long non-coding RNA is filed under the name Canis lupus familiaris (dog). RNAcentral describes it as "lncRNA (ENSCAFG00845001109.1)". The record is from RNAcentral. Lineage: Eukaryota; Metazoa; Chordata; Mammalia; Carnivora; Canidae.
AGAGAGGCAGAGACAUAGGCAGAGGGAGAAGCAGGCUUCCUGUGGGGAGCCCAAUGUGGGACUCGAUCCCAGGACCCCGGGGAUCACGCCCUGAACUGAAUCAACCACUGAGCCAACCAGCCAGAAGGUGCCCUUCUAUUAGCUUUUUGAAGACAUAUUCUCUCUCUUCUUCUCUAAGAGACUGUUCCUUUUCCUCUCACUCUGUCCAUGCAAGUGCUUCUCAGGAUUCUGCCCUUGGCUCAUUCACCCAUUCAGUUCUUCCUCCCUUCCAUGAGCAUUUCAGCCUUGUUCUGGGCCAGGUGUUAGGCUGGGCUUUGGCUAUUUACUUCUCAACUCCAUCUCAAUAAGCGUCACUUCUCCAAGGACAACCCAAGUGUACCUCCCACUCUGGCCUUUCUUAAUGGUCAAUCUUGUGUUCUUAACUCCAGUUGUGCACCUGACCCUGGAAGAUGAAGCUCUGACACUACAAAUGGAACCUAGCAUCUUCUCCCAAAGCCUGCUAGCUUCUGACUCUUGACUCUCUGACUUCUAUUACCUGCCUCAGCAUCUUCUUGGCCAUUGGAGCUGAAAAUCAGGAGCUGUCUCUGACAGCUUGUCAUCACAUCUAGUCACUGGCUGUGUCUGGUGAAUCCUGCCAGCAUGAUGUUCCUCUAGCACAUCUGCCCCUGCCUCUCUACUUAACCUCAUCAUAACCACCACAAUCAAGCCUUCCAGAGUCUCCCGACUUCCCCACUUCAUCCAGGCUCUCUAGUCCACUACAGUCCAAAAAGUCCCCUACAAAGUAGCUGGGUUAAUCUGCCCUAAAAAGCUUUUAUCUUGUCAUUUCUCUGCCCAAUAGCAUUUUUGAUUGCUCAAUCAGUUCUCCUAUGUCUAUAUCCCAUUACUUGCCAUUCAAGGUGCCCAUACUGUGUCUUCUCUCAUUGUUCUGGCCACAUGGUUUCCAAACAUGCCUUAUGCCUUCCCAACAUUGCUUACUCUGGCCCUCUUGGCUAUUUCUAAAUGUACUCACCCCUAAAAAAACAGGAUCAAGAUCAACUGCAUCUUCCCUCCAACAAAGCAUGUCUUGCCUUCAACUACAAUGAUUCCUGUGGCCUCACUGCUCUAAGUAGACUAUAAUUUUGGACUUACAGAAAAUUUUUCUCAUUCCUCAUUGUACUACUAGCACCUAAUACAGGGGAGUAUUCAUACAGGGGGUGCUUAUCAAAUGAAUGAAUUUGUAAUUCCUGUUUCCUAGGGAAUGCAAGGGAAUUCAUGAGAUUGGGUGUGGGCUCCAAGCUUUUCAGAAGGAAGGUAUGAAGAGUGGUCACAGUUGUACAGAAAUGUCUGCCAAGCAGAGAAGCCACACUUCCAUCUGAGUACUAAGGAAAUGGUACCCACAGGAGGCUACUUGUAAGUUUUUCUCAAAAUGUUUUCAACUACAGAAUUGCUUCUCCUCCUUGUCAAAAGAUUGGGUACCAUAUCUUCUCGAGGAUACCCCCAAUGCUCAGCCUCCUUCCUCUGGGUGGGCAUGGUACCUCAUAAGCCUCUCCUAGGUCACUGUCAGUGAGAAGAGUUGUCUCCAUAUUCUAGUCAAUUCUGACUCUACCUUGGGGACAAAGGAAGAGAAUCACUAACUGAAACACUCACUGCUCAUUUGUUGAAUACUUUCAACAAACAGAAUUCUUAACCCUAGAUAUCCCAUUAGUGUCAGAGAGGGCUUCUGUGCUGAUAUUUUAAGAUGCUUAAGAUUUUAAGAUGCUGAAUUGUUUAUGGAACAAACCAGGAAUAGAGUGCUUGCCCAUAGCACUUUUCUCUUUUCCUAAAUCUCUCCUACUCCUUGUCAGGACUGGCUUUCCCCUCCCCCCCCCCCCCCCCCCCCCCCCACCCCAAACCUAAACCCAAAGCAUGACUGGCCUGUUUUUACAAAAUUUGCUGUUUCAUGCUUUCCCUGGGGGAAGGGAGGUGAGUGACUUAAAAACAAAAAAACAAAAAAACGUUUUUUCCUCCCAGUUUGCUGGCAUAAACCAAAGGACUUGGCUAAGCAGCGAAGAAGUGAUCACGUGUGCAUAGCACUGAAAGCAAGAUGUUUCUUAUUCUUUAGGAAGCUCUCUGCAGAGAGUUUAUGUUUUAUCUGUUUUAGCCACGUGUAUGGUAUGUUUGGAAAAGGAUUCAACAAGAGAACAAAAGUCCUCCAGAUCUCAAAGACAGAAAAGUAGCAGAGUUCAGUUCAAACUUUUAGACAGGUUCUCUUUGGUUUGUGUUUCUUCUCCUGGCAGGAAGCCUGCUUUCCAUCUCUAGAUCACACUUGUGCUUCUGAUGAUAAAGUGCAUGCCUCACUGGCUCCAGGAUACUCUCUGUCUGCUGCUGGCCCUGCUCAAGGCCCCACUUGCCAAAAAUGACUGGGGCAAGUCAUCAGGGGCCUACAAAGACCAUAUGGGCUACCAAGUAGGGGUUCAUGGAGGGGGCAGCCCAUAGGCGGGUCCUGAGGGAAAAGGUAGUCUGGACUAAAGCAACAGGUAGGCAUGGGCUUCUAUCUGCAGUGACAAGAGGUUUGCAGAGAAUUCUGGGCUACCAGACACCACCCAAAGAACCAUUUUAUCUGGCCUUGUCCCACAGGGUGCCAGACUGGUGGCCAGCAAGGACAAGAGGUUACAAAUCCAACCAGAACAAAAAGCUAAGGGCACAAGAGCUUUGGGUCAGAUAGACCUGAGUUUGAAUGCUGGCCUAAUCAUUCAAUCUCACUAGCUGAUAACUUAAGAUUCACCAUCUAACCUCGCUGAACCUCAGGUUCCUCAUAUGUAAAAUGAGGAAAAUGAUACUUUACAAAGCCAUGGUGAAGAUAGUACCAAGUCCCUAGGAUAAGAUCAGUCACACAGAGGGAGCCAAUUUGCUGAUAGUCUAGAGAAAAAAAAAAAAAAAAAAAAAAAAAAAAAAAAUAUAUAUAUAUAUAUAUAUAUAUAUAUAUAUAUAUAAUCACAAAUACUCAAAGAGUUUAUUAUAAUCUAGCUGGAAAUACAAAUUACAUGAACAUUAGCAAGCAAACAGGAUAUGACCGAGUGCUAGGUUGCAGGGCCCAACAUUGAAUGCAGCAGUUCAGAGAUAAGAUCUCUGGGGGUUACAGUCAUCCAGAAAGUCAGUCUGCCCAAGGUGGGAUGAGAGUAGGUUCUUGAACACAGGGUAUGAGGGCAAAAGGUAGAGAGCAGACCCUUCCCCUCUUCCCAGGCCAUAAGGGAAAUGCUGGGGUCAAGUUUAAAGAGUGAGCCCAAAAGGCCAAGAACAACGGAGUUAUUUUGAAGAAGCACAAAGUAGGGGGAGACAAGGUGUGUAGGCCUUUACCACAUGCUGGGAAUAUAGUGAUGAGCCAUGAAUCUAGUGGGUAAAGCAAGCCAUGAAAUAGGUGCUAUGAUAGUUCUCAUACCUUGCUGGCGAAACGUAGAUGGCUAUAACCAAUAUGGAGGGAAAUUUGGUAAUAUCUACAAAAACUUUAAAUGCACAUACCAUUUGACCAAGCACUUUUCACUUACAGGAACUAAUAAUGGUCACUGAUAUUUUAAUAGCAAAAGAUUGGAAAUAGCUAUCAAAUAGAACAAGGGCAGCCCCGGUGGCGCAGCAGUUUAGCACCGCCUGCAGCCCGGGGUGUGAUCCUGGAGACCUGGGAUUGAGUCCCAUGUCAGGCUCCCUGCAUGGAGCCUACUUCUCCCUCUGCCUGUGUCUCUGUCUCUGUCUCUGUCUCUCUGAAUAAAUAAAUAAAUAAUCUUAAAAAAAAUAGAACAAAACCCCAAUUGUCCCAAUUAACAUUCAUGGAACACUCCACUUGGAACACUCUAACAAUAAUAGAACAUACUUGUUUCAAGCACAUACAGAAUAUUUACCAAGCUAGAUCAUAUUCUGGGUCAUAAUACAAAUCUUCAUAAAUUUUUAAAAGAUUCACAUCAUACAGAGGUUUAAAUCAUACAAUUAAAAAAUUAAAUUAGAAACCAAUAACAGAAAGUUAUAUGGAAAAUCCUCAAACACUUAUAAAUUAAACAAUACACUUCUAAAUAGCCCAUGAAUCAAAGAAGAAAUCACAAGGAAAAUUAAAAAAUAUUUGGAAUUAAAUGAAAAUGAAAAUAUAACAUCAAAAUUUGUGGGAUAUGGCUUAAGCAGUACUUAGAGAAAAAAUUAUGGAAUUAAAUCCUUAUGUGAGAAGAGAAGAAAGGUCUCAUCCAUGAUCUAAGCUCCCACCUUAAGAAACUAGAAAAAUAGCAGGGUAAGCCCAGAAAAAAGGAAAUAAUAAAGAUUGUGUUCAUAAACUGGUCAGCCUCAUGCUGAAGAAUGAAACCGGACUACUUUCUUACACCAUACACAAAAAUAAACUCAAAGUAGAUUGAACAUCUAAACGUGAGACCUGAAACCAUAAAAAUCCUAGAAGAGACCAUAAGCAGCG